GAGAGAACGUUGCGUCAGCAACGGCCCGCAGGGCGAGCCACGCAGUGGCGAGUCAUCCUCUAUCACCGGCAG
This 72-nucleotide small RNA is filed under the name Salmonella enterica. Its description in RNAcentral is "partial RtT sRNA". It matches the Rfam family "RtT RNA", at positions 59 to 130 of the family's 130-position model. From Rfam's summary of the family: This family represents a bacterial cis-regulatory element known as RtT RNA. The exact function of RtT is unknown although it is thought that it may be involved in changing the cellular response in relation to amino acid starvation. Lineage: Bacteria; Pseudomonadati; Pseudomonadota; Gammaproteobacteria; Enterobacterales; Enterobacteriaceae. The record is from RNAcentral. RNAcentral also lists the same sequence under 1 other name.